This is a long non-coding RNA of Megalobrama amblycephala (Wuchang bream), 1824 nucleotides long. RefSeq lists it as uncharacterized. NCBI's taxonomy places the organism in Eukaryota, Metazoa, Chordata, Actinopteri, Cypriniformes, Xenocyprididae. The record is from RefSeq and is a predicted model, not a curated record. The transcript has 3 exons.
ACGUCUUUUUGUAUGUUCGUCAGGUCUUCUUCAAUUUCAUUGGAGGGAUUUUCGCUGACGCUGAAAGAGUCUGAAAACAGCCAAGCCUGUCUGAUGCAACCAUUACACUAAAAUGGAUUGUAAAUGUUUUCUCUUCGGAAACCUUCAAUGUCGCAACUCUGAUUGUUGCGGGGUCGAGGUUGGAGGCAACCGAGGGACAGAAUGUUACAAUAUCCUUCGACAUCGAUGAAGUGGAGAGAGCCGAUCAAGUGAAGAUUGCCUUUAAACAAGACGACAAGGAAAAUGCAGUUGUUGUUGCUCAGCAGCCUUGGACCUAUGAUGAAACUCCUCCAGCUGGAGUUUCACUGCUGGUCGAGGAAAGACGCGUGUCUGUAACUAUUCAACAUGUCAGCAUCUCCAGAAACUCUGGAGUCUACACAGCGAGAGCCUUCUUUGGAAAGAAGUUGUCUGAGGUGAAUGCUGUGCUUGUCAUCAACAUACCACAGUCUUCCUCCAGUCCAGCGCCACCGCACACCUCCACCCCAAAACCUCCCAGCUCAUCUGAGCUCCAAUGGCCGUAUGUAGUAAUUCCAGUCGUCAUUAUCAUCAUCAUCAUCAUCAUCAUCAUCAUCAUCAUCAUCAUCAGGAGGGCAAGUAUUACUUAUAUUUAUGCUUUUAGUGGUGGAUAGGAGCAGCGCUGUGGGUCUAAUGAUCUGUAAAGCAGUAUAUAAUAUAAUAAGAUGUUAAUAUUAAAGUUAUUAUAAAGUGAUGCCCAGCAGAGAAUCGAUAUGCAUCUUUAUUUCUUAUACACACAUUUGACCACAUAAUGCAUUUUUACAGUUUUUGAUGGUAAAUGUUAGUUACAUCAUUUAAAAUAAAUGCUUCGAUUCUUUUCAGCAUUUUAGGGUUUUAUCGAUUAUCCUUUCUUAAAAUGCCAGUACACACAAUAGUGGUGCUGAAACUGAUUCCCAUCACGAUUGAUGCUUAUUUGAUCUUAAAUCUGGUAUUUCACAUGAUAUUUGGUCUCAUAUUUCUCACUGUGGUUGUGCUGAACGCAGGGUUCUUACAGACCUGGAAACCUGGGAAUCUUAGAGUGAUUUCCAGGCCUGAAACGUCAUGGAUAUUUAUAAAGUCUUCCUACAGACACAAUGCAUUUUAAUAGUUAUACUUAGUUCUAAAUUACUUCUAGCUAGCAAAACUGUGAUCAGAUCACCUGAAAAUGAUCUUAAUAACAAUUGGGUCAAGGAGUUUGAGCAAGUCAGUGCUCUGUACAGAUUUUUGAUGUUGGUGAAUGUGUUCAUUUUUAUUGUCUACAAUUUUGUAAAAUUGCCAGAACAUAUGAUCAACAACAGUAGCUGUGUUUACAUGGACCUUAAUAAUCGGAUUGUAAUCAGACUUGUAGCACAGUCGGUAUAAAAAAAGUAAAAUGUAACCACGUCUUUCGGAAUUAAUUGUCAAAAUCCAAUUUUAUUCAGAUUGUAAAGGGGCGGUUGAAACCUUUGAUGUAAACACUAAACUACAUGUAAACACUUGUUCAGAUUGAAACCUGAAACUGGAAAGGACUGAUGGUGUUAUGACACAUGAUUCGUGGAAUGAGCUUUUGUGGUUGAAUAAGUGUCAUAAAUGACUGUCUUGUCAUUAUAAAAUGCUCAUUCAGUCUGUGAAGUGGAGCAGGACAAUGUCAUCCCACCAAUCCUUGUUUCACACUCUCAUUCACAGACGGCUGGUUUUGGGUGCAGGAAUGGGCAUUUUUACUGCUUGAUAAAUAUAAGCAGCACGGCACAGCAGUUCAUGUGCUCGUCAUCUCCUAAUUAGGACCUGAAAUAAACAAAGAUAAAUACUUAG